RNAcentral lists this ribosomal RNA (537 nucleotides) under uncultured archaeon. RNAcentral describes it as "bacterial SSU rRNA". It matches the Rfam family "Archaeal small subunit ribosomal RNA", at positions 52 to 593 of the family's 1478-position model. The record is from RNAcentral.
UGCCCCNUCGAGAGGGUUCGGCCCUCGGCUGACGGCUCAGUAACACGUGGAUAAUCUGCCCUUAGGAGGAGGAUAACCUCGGGAAACUGAGAACAAUACUCCAUAGAUCUAGGAUGCUGGAAUGCACUUAGAUUGAAAGCUCCGGCGCCUAAGGAUGAGUCUGCGGACUAUCAGGUUGUAGUCAGGGUAAAGACCUGACUAGCCUACGACGGAUACGGGUUGUGAGAGCAAUAACCCGGAGACGAUAUCUGAGACACGAUAUCGGGCCCUACGGGGCGCAGCAGGCGCGAAAACUUCACACUGUGCGAAAGCGCGAUGAGGGAAUCCCAAGUGCUUGCUCGUAAGAGUAAGCUGUUUCUUUGUUUAAAAUGCAGAGAGAGUAAGGGCUGGGUAAGACGGGUGCCAGCCGCCGCGGUAAUACCUGCAGCUCAAGUGGUGAUCGCUAUUAUUGGGCCUAAAACGUCCGUAGCCGGUUUAGUAAAUGCCUGGGUAAAUCGUGUAGCUUAACUAUACGAAUNCCGGGUAGACUGCUAAGCU